ACAGUAAAUUACUGAAUGAUAACGAGGUGUUUUUUACUCCUGCACUCGUCCAUGCCAUCAGGGCCUCUCAAGAUAAGUGUAGCGUAGCUGUACAAGUGUAACUGCUUUCAUUAAGUUGUUGAAAAAUUGGCCCAGUGACUUAACAGUACUGGAAUUUUCUGGCAAUUGCACUUAAAUUACACUCAUGUGAUAAAAGACACAGCAGUGGUGAAGCUUUGACUGAUUCUUCUGCCAGGCUGAAGUUUGAUAUGAGCGUCAGGUGUGUGUAUCCUGAGCAGGAAUUCACACUUCACUCACCUCUACUUUAAACCAGCAUCAACUCCUGACGUCACGGUCAGUCCGACCUGUUCACCACAUCCCGACAACUUUUUUUUUUUUUUUUUUGUUUAAUCCACGCGCGCAGGAGCUCAGUGACGCAGUCGGGUAUGGAGCGCGCGUGGUUGUUGAGGUGUGUGUGUGUGUGUGUGAGAGAGAGAGAGACACACACACACCAGGCAACAUAUUUCUGUGACGUGAGGCACAAAGUCUCAAGAGAGCAAGAAGUCAAGCGGACAGGGGGGGAAAAAAACGGAAAGAAAAAAAAACACCCCCCAUCAAAAAGAAAGAGGCCAGCAGAGCGCGGAGAUGAAGACCUCCCACAGCCAAAGUCAGCCUGCGCCGCGCGGAGCCGCCAGCAGCCUGCAGAGCCUCAGCAGCAGCGCCAUGAGUCCACUCAGCACGGCCAGCAUCUCCCUCACAGCCCUGCUCAUCCUCAGCAUCCCAGUCUGCAACAGUGCUCCAGCAGAACUUCAGCAAGCCACGACAGACCAGAGGCAUCUUCUCCAGAUAGACGCUGUGUGCUCGUCCUACCUCUCCGCAGGCCUGAAGUCUUGGGCGUCUGACAUCUUAGGAGAACUCUGUGUCUUGAUGCUGGUUGAAAAGUCAAAGGAGCUGAAAGCGGAGGAAAAAAGUAAAAGGAGAGAAACGGAGGUCGACGUCUCUUUUUCCCUCUGAAGGCUCCGUCUGUGUACUCUCCUGUACGCUGGAGCAGUUAUUCACGUCUGUGUGUUCGGCUCUGUGUUCGUCAGACCCCUCAGUUGCACCCUCUCCUACAUCUAGUUUCUCAACUCCAUACCAGAAGAGAGAAAGGACUCUCAACGCGCGCUGAACUCCAGGGACCUGGGGGCAUCCAGAGCAGAGGUUACUUCCUCUAUCGGCCAAGAAAUGGAAGACGAUCCUUAGAAUAUGAUUAAAUUAAAGAGUGUCCACCUCUGAAGUGUAGUGUACAGAGACCACACACACACCCUGAGACCCGAGCUGCCGCACGCCGUCUGAGUGAUCCAGAGUCCAACCGCGGCCCGCUGCCACUGCUGUAUAGUGAUGUCUGAAUGUACACAAAGAAUAUGAUUAAAAUAUUAUUCACUUGUCCAGA
Acanthopagrus latus (yellowfin seabream) is the source of this 1411-nucleotide RNA transcript. It is a transcript of the gene named neuromedin U, with no coding region annotated. The record is from RefSeq and is a predicted model, not a curated record. Lineage: Eukaryota; Metazoa; Chordata; Actinopteri; Spariformes; Sparidae. The transcript has 9 exons.